Poeciliopsis prolifica (blackstripe livebearer) is the source of this 797-nucleotide long non-coding RNA. RefSeq lists it as uncharacterized. Lineage: Eukaryota; Metazoa; Chordata; Actinopteri; Cyprinodontiformes; Poeciliidae. The transcript has 4 exons. The record is from RefSeq and is a predicted model, not a curated record.
UGUGUAAUAGCCCCUGGUUCAAGUCAAACGCAGUCACUUUAUGCUGCAGCAAAAACUGCACUAAGAAACUAUCUUUGCUUGUUUGUUUUUCUGGAGCCACACAUUUACAGCAAAGACGUCAACAUGUAUCAGACUUCAGGAGUUAAAGUCCACACCAUCACUUGUGGGGAGACGUUUGGUGUGAUGAAGAACUGCUGAGUAAAAUGAAGAGGAGGAUACAGCUGACCAUCACACACUGGAUAGAAAGUCUCUUCAUCAUCGUUUUCUGUCCCAUCACCUCUCGCGUUGGGUCAGAUGUGGAAGCGGCCAUGACCAAGGUUCCAGGAGAUCAAAAUGUCAUUCUGGUUCUGAUGCACCACACGCGAGAUGAGGGCUACUCCACAGCUGGAGUGAACUGGUCUGACAAAUAUCCCAACGUCAUCCUGGAUGUUCAUGUUCUCUUCCAUGAGAUGGUGCCAGGAUUGCUGGCGUGUGCUAAAAAUAUUGAGGCAGUUGAUCAACUGAUCUGUGAAUUAGAUCAACGGUUUCAGAACCAACAGAUCGAGGAGAUCAGACACAUGGAGCCGGGUCUCAUUGAAAGGCUUGAUAAAUGCUGUUUCCCUUAUUGGAAAAUUGUUCUUCCAUUUGUUCUGGUUGUGGUGCUAAUCUUACUUCUUGUCAUUUUGUUGUCGUAGUUUAGAGAUCAGCAAAUUCAAAAUAAAGAAAAGAUGUCCUGAUUAUUGUAUGCUCCAAUACAUAAAGUCAUCAUAAUUCAUUAGAUUAUAAACUUUAACAAUAAAAAUAUUGGGCAAAAAGAA